UCGUAACAAGGUUUCCGUAGGUGAACCUGCGGAAGGAUCAUUACCGAGUGAGGGCCCUCUGGGUCCAACCUCCCACCCGUGUUUAUCGUACCUUGUUGCUUCGGCGGGCCCGCCGUUCCGGCCGCCGGGGGGCAUCCGCCCCCGGGCCCGCGCCCGCCGAAGACACCAUUGAACGCUGUCUGAAGAUUGCAGUCUGAGCGAUUAGCUAAAUCAGUUAAAACUUUCAACAACGGAUCUCUUGGUUCCGGCAUCGAUGAAGAACGCAGCGAAAUGCGAUAAGUAAUGUGAAUUGCAGAAUUCAGUGAAUCAUCGAGUCUUUGAACGCACAUUGCGCCCCCUGGUAUUCCGGGGGGCAUGCCUGUCCGAGCGUCAUUGCUGCCCUCAAGCACGGCUUGUGUGUUGGGCCCCGCCCCCCGGCUACCGGGGGGCGGGCCCGAAAGGCAGCGGCGGCACCGCGUCCGGUCCUCGAGCGUAUGGGGCUUCGUCACCCGCUCUGUAGGCCCGGCCGGCGCCCGCCGGCGACCCCCCUCAAUCUUUCUCAGGUUGACCUCGGAUCAGGUAGGGAUACCCGCUGAACUUAAGCAUAUCAAUAA
This 593-nucleotide unclassified non-coding RNA is filed under the name Penicillium brefeldianum. RNAcentral's name for it is "sequence contains 18S rRNA gene, ITS1, 5.8S rRNA gene, ITS2, 28S rRNA gene". The stretch from base 219 to 372 matches the Rfam family "5.8S ribosomal RNA". Lineage: Eukaryota; Fungi; Ascomycota; Eurotiomycetes; Eurotiales; Aspergillaceae. The record is from RNAcentral.